GCUUUCAAAAAGGGUUAAAAAGAAGCAAAAGGAAAAAGGAUACCAAACAUCAACUUUGGUUGUUUUCUUCAUUCUGGUUCGUCGCAAACAGGAAAAAGGAAGGAGUAGAUUCCUUUUGAAGUUUUGUAAAUAAACUCUUUUGUUUCUUCCAUUACGCGUAAGGUAAGGUUUUGAACUUUAUUUUCUUUAGAUUUAGGUUUCGUUUGAAAUCGUUCAAACGAACAAAUAUGAUUUCGUGGUCAACGAUCAUCUAGCGAGAUCGUUCGUUGAACCAAGGUGUCUUUCUUGGAUGUCACGAUUAUUCAAUUUUAUUUUAGCCUAUUUUGAUUGUAACGAGAUCACUGGUGGAAUCGGUUCAGAACCGAACCUCGUGUACAUGUUUUCCGCUGCGUUCAGUUUGUUUGACAAAUUGAUAAAAAAUAUUUUCUAAAAGUUACACGAAAAAUCCAACAUGUAACACUGUGUGUAUGUGUACUGAUUCUCUUCACUUAAUCAAAGCUUUGAAGUAG
RNAcentral lists this long non-coding RNA (509 nucleotides) under Helianthus annuus (common sunflower). RNAcentral's name for it is "hypothetical non coding rna". Lineage: Eukaryota; Viridiplantae; Streptophyta; Magnoliopsida; Asterales; Asteraceae. The record is from RNAcentral.